RNAcentral lists this ribosomal RNA (253 nucleotides) under uncultured bacterium. Its description in RNAcentral is "partial 16S ribosomal RNA". It matches the Rfam family "Bacterial small subunit ribosomal RNA", at positions 524 to 776 of the family's 1533-position model. The record is from RNAcentral.
GACAGAGGUGGCAAGCGUUGCUCGGCUUUACUGGGCUUAAAGGGCGCGUAGGCGGCUUUAUAAGUCCGAGGUGGAAUUCCACAGCUUAACUGUGGAACUGCCCUGGAAACUAUAAGGCUUGAGUCAGGUAGAGGAGGGCGGAAUUCCCGGUGUAGCGGUGAAGUGCGUAGAUAUCGGGAGGAAGGCCGGUGGCGAAAGCGGCCCUCUGGGCCUGUACUGACGCUGAGGCGCGAAAGCGUGGGGAGCAAACAGG